This 550-nucleotide ribosomal RNA is filed under the name uncultured bacterium. RNAcentral describes it as "bacterial SSU rRNA". It matches the Rfam family "Bacterial small subunit ribosomal RNA", at positions 355 to 896 of the family's 1533-position model. The record is from RNAcentral.
UAGGGAAUCUUCGGCAAUGGACGGAAGUCUGACCGAGCAACGCCGCGUGAGUGAAGAAGGUUUUCGGAUCGUAAAGCUCUGUUGUAAGAGAAGAACGAGUGUGAGAGUGGAAAGUUCACACUGUGACGGUAUCUUACCAGAAAGGGACGGCUAACUACGUGCCAGCAGCCGCGGUAAUACGUAGGUCCCGAGCGUUGUCCGGAUUUAUUGGGCGCAAAGCGAGCGCAGGCGGUUAGAUAAGUCUGAAGUUAAAGGCUGUGGCUUAACCAUAGUACGCUUUGGAAACUGUUUAACUUGAGUGCAAGAGGGGAGAGUGGAAUUCCAUGUGUAGCGGUGAAAUGCGUAGAUAUAUGGAGGAACACCGGUGGCGAAAGCGGCUCUCUGGCUUGUAACUGACGCUGAGGCUCGAAAGCGUGGGGAGCAAACAGGAUUAGAUACCCUGGUAGUCCACGCCGUAAACGAUGAGUGCUAGGUGUUAGACCCUUUCCGGGGUUUAGUGCCGCAGCUAACGCAUUAAGCACUCCGCCUGGGGAGUACGACCGCAAGGUUG